GACGCCGGGAAAUGUGGUGUUGAGGAGGAUCCAUUAUACCGAGGUUUUGCGAUGCGUCCAAGUCCUUCUUGAACGGGGCCAUUACCCACAGAGGGUGCCAGGCCCGUAGCGACUGUCGCUCGCCACGGUAGGAUCUCUCCUCAGAGUCGGGUUGCUUGAGAGUGCAGCCCUAAGUGGGUGGUAAACUCCAUCUAAGGCUAAAUAUGACCACGAGACCGAUAGCGAACAAGUACCGUGAGGGAAAGUUGAAAAGCACUUUGAAGAGAGAGUUCAAGAGUACGUGAAACCGUUCAGGGGUAAACCUGAGAAACCCGAAAGGUCGGCGGGGAAAUUCAUGCGCGUCUCCGCGUUCGAUGGCGAGUGGUGGCGCGACGCCCGUUCUCUCGAGUACGGGCGCGCCCACCGUUCGUCUAAAUCGAAUCGGAACGCGUGCACUUUUCCCCUGUCGGACGUCGCGAUCCGUUGGGUGUCGGUCUAAGGCGCCGCGGCGGAGCCCAGUCGGCCGUCCUUGUGACGAUCGGCAGGACCCGCGGUGCAUCCCGACCGACCCGCUCGACGGUGUACAUGUGGCGAUGCGUCGGCGAUCGGACCUGGUGCCGAUUCCGACGUCGCCCGACUGUUGGCCGCGGCGUUCUCGAACAGUCUCUAAAAUUCACACACGCCGAUCGGCGACGCUAUAGCUUUGGGUACUUUCAGGACCCGUCUUG
RNAcentral lists this ribosomal RNA (707 nucleotides) under Nitidulidae sp. MAL-2003. RNAcentral's name for it is "LSU rRNA". It matches the Rfam family "Eukaryotic large subunit ribosomal RNA", at positions 132 to 656 of the family's 3401-position model. The record is from RNAcentral. Lineage: Eukaryota; Metazoa; Arthropoda; Insecta; Coleoptera; Nitidulidae.